This 249-nucleotide long non-coding RNA is filed under the name Ictidomys tridecemlineatus (thirteen-lined ground squirrel). RNAcentral describes it as "lncRNA (ENSSTOG00000034624.1)". Lineage: Eukaryota; Metazoa; Chordata; Mammalia; Rodentia; Sciuridae. The record is from RNAcentral.
AUUCUGACCUGGUCAAGGAUGAAUAAGAUGGUGGAAUGAGAUGGACAUGGUAACCCUCAGUACACAUAUGAAGACAUGAAUGCCAAACAGGAUGUGAUGCCAGGAAGAUCCAGGGUUGGAGCCAGCAGAAUGUACACCACUUCCCCAUACCUAUGGUUGAGCUGGAUCCAGCAAGAUUCCUGCAAUUAAGCACUGCCUGUCAGGUAAGACAAACUCACACUGUCUACUAAGAUAGACUGGUCAAUUUCA